UAAGAAAAAAUUUAUUUAAUUUGUUGUAAUUAGAAUUCUUUUAAAAAAAGUAAUUUUAUUUUUAUGGGUUUUAGUAUUAUUAUUGGAAAAAAUUUGUUAGAUGAUAGUUUAUUAGUAUUGUAAAGGAAUAUUGAAGUAGUAUUAAUGAAGAUUAGUUUAUAGAAAAGUAAAUUGUUUAUUGUACCUUGUGUAUCAGGGUUUAUUAAUUUUAUAAUAUAGAUAUAUUUUUCCCGAAUUAAGAAGAGUUAAAAUAUAAAGUUAGUUAAUGUUGCAUAAUUAUUAAUAAUUGUAUAUUGGCGGUGAAAUAUUAUCGAUUCUUAGGGUAUCUGGUUUUUUAAGAGAUGAAUUUAAUUCAGUUUAACUUAGUAAUAGCUUUAAUUGACUAUUAAGGAUUUAUUAAGUUAAAAUAAUAUUAUAGGGGAUAAGCUUUAUAUUAUGGAUUAUAGGUUUUAUGAAUAUUUAUUUGGUUAUAGGCUUUAAAUUAGCUGUUAAUAGUAAAAUUGUUAUAAAUUACUAUAUUUGAUUAAAUAAUUUUAUAAAGUGUUUAAUUUGUUUAUUAAAAUAAAGUAUAUAAUUGUUAAAUAUUUAUAAUAAUGUUAAAAUUAGUAAAUUAUUAAUUUGUAUUUAGUAAUUUUGUGCUGUAAUUUAUAUUAAGGAAUUCGGCAAAAAUAAUGCUCGCCUGUUUAACAAAAACAUGUCUUCUUGUGUUUAAUUUGAAGUCGAACCUGCCCACUGAAGGAAUUUGAAGGGCCGCGGUAUUUUGACCGUGCAAAGGUAGCAUAAUCAUUAGUUUUUUAAUUGAAGGCUAGAAUGAAUGGUUUGACGAGGUAUUUACUGUCUCUAUGUAAUAUAGUUGAAUUUAUUUUUUAAGUUAAAAAACUUAAAUUUUUGUAAGGGACGAGAAGACCCUAUAGAGCUUUAUGUAAUUAUAUAUUUAUAUUUUUAGUAGUAUUUUUUUAGAUUAUAGAUUAUAUUAUGUUGGGGUGACAUGAAAAUAUAAUUAACUUUUCAUUUUUAUGGACAUUAAUUUAUGGAAAAAUGAUCCAAUAUUAGUGAUUGUAAGAUAAAGUUACCUUAGGGAUAACAGCGUAAUUCUACUUGAGAGUACAUAUCGAAAGAGGAGAUUGCGACCUCGAUGUUGGAUUAAGAAAAUGACUGGGUGCAAGAUUUUAGUUAAUAGGUCUGUUCGACCUUUAAAUUCUUACAUGAUCUGAGUUCAGACCGGCGUGAGCCAGGUCGGUUUCUAUCUUUAUUAAUUUAGAAUAUUUUAGUACGAAAGGACCAGAUAUAAUAAAUAAUUUAUUAAUAAUGGUUUAAUAGUAAUUUG
This 1327-nucleotide ribosomal RNA is filed under the name Pseudorhynchus crassiceps. Its description in RNAcentral is "16S ribosomal RNA". The stretch from base 631 to 1327 matches the Rfam family "Archaeal large subunit ribosomal RNA", at positions 1423 to 2825 of the family's 2987-position model. The record is from RNAcentral. Lineage: Eukaryota; Metazoa; Arthropoda; Insecta; Orthoptera; Tettigoniidae.